GACGAACGCUGGCGGCGUGCCUAAUACAUGCAAGUCGAGCGGACUUUCAGGAGUGCUUGCACUCUGGAGGGUUAGCGGCGGAGGGGUGUGUAACACGUAGGCAAACUGCCCAUUAGACGGGGAUAACAUUAGGAAAAGUAUGCUAAUUCCGGCUUGCCGGACUUCUCGCAAAAGGGGAUCGGGAAAGGCGGUGCAAUCUGCAGCUAAUGGAUGGGCGUGUGGCGCAUUAGCUAGUUGGUGGGGUAACGGCCCACCAAGGCGACGAUGCGUAGCCGACCUGAGAGGGUGAUCGGCCACACUGGAACUGAGACACGGCCCAGACUCCUACGGGAGGCAGCAGUGGGGAAUAUUCCACAAUGGGCGCAAGCCUGAUGGAGCAACGCCGCGUGAGUGAAGAAGGCCUUCGGGUCGUAAAGCCCUGUUGCCAGGGAAGAACGGGCAGGGGAGUAACUGCCCUUGCCAUGACGGUACCUAAAGAGAAAGCCCCGGCUAACUACGUG
Molecule: ribosomal RNA, 500 nt
Filed under: uncultured bacterium
Lineage: Bacteria
Description: partial 16S ribosomal RNA
Rfam family: Bacterial small subunit ribosomal RNA
Source: RNAcentral